Molecule: non-coding RNA, 83 nt
Organism: Leucogyrophana mollusca
Lineage: Eukaryota; Fungi; Basidiomycota; Agaricomycetes; Boletales
Source: the annotation of a GenBank genome assembly
GGUGUUAUGGUGUAGGGGACUAGCACUUGAGAUUCUGAAGCCUAUGUAUUCUCAAAACCCAGGUUCAAAUCCUGGUAACACCU